RNAcentral lists this ribosomal RNA (253 nucleotides) under uncultured bacterium. Its description in RNAcentral is "partial 16S ribosomal RNA". It matches the Rfam family "Bacterial small subunit ribosomal RNA", at positions 524 to 776 of the family's 1533-position model. The record is from RNAcentral.
UACGUAGGUGGCAAGCGUUGUCCGGAUUUAUUGGGUUUAAAGGGUGCGUAGGCGGUCCCAUAAGUCAGUGCUGAAAUAUCCCGGCUUAACCGGGAGGGUGGCAUUGAUACUGUGGGACUUGAGUAAAGUUGAGGUUGGCGGAAUUGACGGUGUAGCGGUGAAAUGCGUAGAUAUCGGAAGGAACAUCAGUGGCGAAAGCGGCUUCCUGGUCCAGCACCGACGUUCAGGCACGAAAGCGUGGGGAGCAAACAGG